AUUGAACGCUGGCGGCAUGCUUUACACAUGCAAGUCGAACGGUAACAGGCCUUCGGGUGCUGACGAGUGGCGCACGGGUGAGUAAUGCAUCGGAACGUACCCAGAGGUGGGGGAUAACGCAGCGAAAGCUGUGCUAAUACUGCAUGUGAUCUGAGGAUGAAAGCGGGGGACCGAGCAGCAAUGUUUGGCCUCGCGCCUUUGGAGCGGCCGAUGUCGGAUUAGCUAGUUGGUGGGGUAAAGGCCUACCAAGGCGACGAUCCGUAGCUGGUCUGAGAGGACGACCAGCCACACUGGGACUGAGACACGGCCCAGACUCCUACGGGAGGCAGCAGUGGGGAAUUUUGGACAAUGGGCGCAAGCCUGAUCCAGCAAUGCCGCGUGCGGGAAGAAGGCCUUCGGGUUGUAAACCGCUUUUGGCAGGAACGAAACGGUGUCCGCUAAUACCGGGCGCUAAUGACGGUACCUGCAGAAUAAGCACCGGCUAACUACGUG
Molecule: ribosomal RNA, 492 nt
Filed under: uncultured bacterium
Lineage: Bacteria
Description: partial 16S ribosomal RNA
Rfam family: Bacterial small subunit ribosomal RNA
Source: RNAcentral